Molecule: long non-coding RNA, 2002 nt
Filed under: Salvator merianae (Argentine black and white tegu)
Lineage: Eukaryota; Metazoa; Chordata; Lepidosauria; Squamata; Teiidae
Description: lncRNA (ENSSMRG00000003829.1)
Source: RNAcentral
GUUCUUUCAAUCCAAAAGUGGACUGAAGCUGGACUAAAUCUUAGGUGUGAUUGGGCCCUUAAGGUCAGCAUGUGCCACACUCGAGCAGAGCCAGCUCCUGGAAUUUAGCAUCCCAGCCCUGAACUGCUCUUCAAAUAUUUUUCCCAAGUGUUCCAUGCAGUGAAUGCUAUCAGAAUAUAUUACAUAGCUACCACUUUAAACUCUCAGAAUGCCUAUCCCCGUAGCGUUACUUCAGGAGAUUGUGAACAUUUAAAAUGGCCACCCCAGUUCCAGCUGCGCAAAAGAUAGGCAUUAACAGCUUGAACUUUUCCUUCAGGGAGUGGCAGGCCUAACCUGUGAGACAGUCCCCAAUUUUUUAGCAGCUUCGGUCAACAAAGCCUAGCGUUCUUUCUUUCCUCCUUCCUUCCUUGAUACCACUUUUCUAAGNCCUGCAGGUAGCCAGUCAAAAAGGAUCCCAAUAGUUUGCAGAAAAGAAACUUCAGCUGACUAAAAAAACCCCGUUUCGUCUGCAUACUACUGAGAAAGAAGAAUUCAGGGGCAGAGCAGAAACUUGCUGUGUACCUUUAAAAUUCAGUUUUCUCCUCCCUCUGUUAUGGUCCCAGCCGUUCCUGGAAGUCCCGCCCAACAGGGCUACUGAUGGACACCUUUUCUGACCUAUAGAACGUCCGUGGUGGAGGUCGUGAGCCAAUGAGACGAAAUAUUUGAACAUGGUGCCAGGCUCUAGGAAGAGUUUCAGGAAGCGACUGUUCUGUAGCUGAACACGGGAAGGUGGUCAGUAGCUCCGAAGGUGAGGGAAGCGGCGGCGGUUUCACACAGCCAUCCUGUCAGUGCUUUUGGACAAAAUGUAAAUCAUAGGGAUCUUGCUCAGAGGAUUUGAACUUUGACUUGCUGACUGAUAUAAAGAUAAGAGAGGGAUGAAGAUCAUACCUGCACUUACCUCCCUUAGAGGCCAGCCAGGUGCCUACCCAGGAGCAGCAUACCCUCCCAAUUCUUCAUAUCCAGCUGACUUCAACCCAGCACACCCUCCUCCUCCUGUGAAUCCAGCCUUCCCCCAAGGUCCAGUCCCUGCUGGCUCGUAUCCUGCCCCCCCUGCAGGAAUCCCCGGACAACCUGCGUAUCCUUCAGGUCACCCUAAUCAGCUGCCAUAUCCUGGGCAUCAGCCCGGCUAUCCCGUGCCAUCUGGAGGUCCUUAUCCUCCACCUGCUCCUGGUAUGCCUGGAGGAAUGGGAGUGAAUCCAUUGGUUCCUGGGGCUAUUGCUGUGGGAACCCAUGUGAUGGAUAAGAAGGCAGCAAAAAAGAUGAAGAAGAAAAUGAAGAAGGCCCACAAGAUGCACAAGCCACACAAACUCCAUAAGCUUCAUGGAAAGCAUUCCUCUUCCUCCUCAUCUAGCAGCAGUGAUUCUGACUGAGGCCUCUCCCUACCUCUGAGCUGUAUCUUCUUCCCACAGANGCAGAUCCUUACACCAGUCUUCCUGCUUCUGCCCUACACUGUCUUCUAAUGUCUCACAAGAUUAAAAAUGAUGCACGCUUACUGCUCAUCCUAUCUUACAGGACUGGGCCACAUGUCAUGUUAUCCCAAGGGCGUGUGCAGUCUCUUGCAAAGUCUGAUGGGAAUUCUGGUGUAGCUGACCAAGCAGCGUUUGUAUAAUCAGUUGUUGUGUCUUGACAAACCAGAAGAGUAGUUAUAGUUGGUUUAAAGAAAGUGUGUCUGCAAACACAAGCAACAGUGGCAGCCUUCAGAAAUGUGGGCUGUUCAUUCCUACAGCAUACAGAGUUGUUUCUCAACACUGAGGUUUCGGAGGAUUUCUUUAAGCAAGUUCGGAUUCAGUGGAACAGGCACUCUGGGGUAAAGUUCAUUGCAAGGCAGUAGAUCCAAGGUGGUGUCAACCUUCCUUAAAAUUAGUCAAAUAUAAAAUUAAAAUUACUUGAGAUAAUUAUCAUGUUUUGUGUGAAACCCUUAUCAAUGACAAAUAAAAAGAGGCAGCCCUGUAUUUAUAUAGCA